CAAAACUUUCGGGGCUCCACUUAGCAAAAAUUUGCUGUUACUUUCCACAGCAGCCGCCGGCUAAGAGAAAAAAUAAACAAGUCGGCGCGUGCAAAUCAGUGCGAAUUAAAAUUUGAUUCUGGCGGUAUUCGUGGACACGGUAAUGACUAUAGAAGGACAAUAGAAAGGAAGAUAAACCAAUACUGGGAGCGCAAUGGUCCCAAGAAGAAAAGGAGCCAGCAGUGAAAUUGAACACCCCAGCAUUCGGAGCCUCCUUGAACAUAUUAUGGAGAUCAGUUUUUACGAGCUAAAUUUUAAGUGACUUGAAAUAUGAAAAAAAAAAUCAAAUAAAUUAAGUGAAAGAAUUUAUGUGUUCUGUUUUUAUAAUCCGAUGUUCCCCAUGAAUUUCAAAUGAAAUUUUUGUUUUGGUAUUUCAAUACCCCCGCGAUCUUUU
Uranotaenia lowii is the source of this 433-nucleotide long non-coding RNA. RefSeq lists it as uncharacterized. Lineage: Eukaryota; Metazoa; Arthropoda; Insecta; Diptera; Culicidae. The record is from RefSeq and is a predicted model, not a curated record. The transcript has 3 exons.